Molecule: ribosomal RNA, 899 nt
Filed under: Vibrio owensii
Lineage: Bacteria; Pseudomonadati; Pseudomonadota; Gammaproteobacteria; Vibrionales; Vibrionaceae
Description: bacterial SSU rRNA
Rfam family: Bacterial small subunit ribosomal RNA
Source: RNAcentral
GGGGCCUAUAAUGUGAGUCGAGCGGAACGAGUUAUCUGAACCUUCGGGGGACGAUAACGGCGUCGAGCGGCGGACGGGUGAGUAAUGCCUAGGAAAUUGCCCUGAUGUGGGGGAUAACCAUUGGAAACGAUGGCUAAUACCGCAUAAUGCCUACGGGCCAAAGAGGGGGACCUUCGGGCCUCUCGCGUCAGGAUAUGCCUAGGUGGGAUUAGCUAGUUGGUGAGGUAAUGGCUCACCAAGGCGACGAUCCCUAGCUGGUCUGAGAGGAUGAUCAGCCACACUGGAACUGAGACACGGUCCAGACUCCUACGGGAGGCAGCAGUGGGGAAUAUUGCACAAUGGGCGCAAGCCUGAUGCAGCCAUGCCGCGUGUGUGAAGAAGGCCUUCGGGUUGUAAAGCACUUUCAGUCGUGAGGAAGGUGGUGUAGUUAAUAGCUGCAUUAUUUGACGUUAGCGACAGAAGAAGCACCGGCUAACUCCGUGCCAGCAGCCGCGGUAAUACGGAGGGUGCGAGCGUUAAUCGGAAUUACUGGGCGUAAAGCGCAUGCAGGUGGUUUGUUAAGUCAGAUGUGAAAGCCCGGGGCUCAACCUCGGAAUAGCAUUUGAAACUGGCAGACUAGAGUACUGUAGAGGGGGGUAGAAUUUCAGGUGUAGCGGUGAAAUGCGUAGAGAUCUGAAGGAAUACCGGUGGCGAAGGCGGCCCCCUGGACAGAUACUGACACUCAGAUGCGAAAGCGUGGGGAGCAAACAGGAUUAGAUACCCUGGUAGUCCACGCCGUAAACGAUGUCUACUUGGAGGUUGUGGCCUUGAGCCGUGGCUUUCGGAGCUAACGCGUUAAGUAGACCGCCUGGGGAGUACGGUCGCAAGAUUAAAACUCAAAUGAAUUGACGGGGGCCCGC